RNAcentral lists this ribosomal RNA (254 nucleotides) under uncultured bacterium. Its description in RNAcentral is "partial 16S ribosomal RNA". It matches the Rfam family "Bacterial small subunit ribosomal RNA", at positions 524 to 776 of the family's 1533-position model. The record is from RNAcentral.
UACGGGGGGAGCAAGCGUUGUUCGGAUUUACUGGGCGUAAAGGGCGCGUAGGCGGUCGUGACAAGUCACUUGUGAAAUCUCCGGGCUUAACUCGGAACGGUCAAGUGAUACUGUCGGACUAGAGUACAGAAGGGGCAACUGGAAUUCUCGGUGUAGCGGUGAAAUGCGUAGAUAUCGAGAGGAACACCUGCGGCGAAGGCGGGUUGCUGGGCUGAUACUGACGCUGAGGCGCGAAAGUGUGGGGAUCAAACAGG